AGCGGCGGACGGGUGAGUAACGCGUGGAUAACCUGUCCUACCCACCGGGAUAACAUCUGGAAACAGUUGCUAAGACCGGAUAAGCUUACGGAAUCGCAUGGUUCUGUGAGAAAAAGUAAUGGGGUAGGAGGGGUCCGCGUCUGAUUAGGUAGUUGGUGGGGUAAAAGCCCACCAAGCCUACGAUCAGUAGCCGACCUGAGAGGGUGAUCGGCCACAUUGGGACUGAGACACGGCCCAAACUCCUACGGGAGGCAGCAGUGGGGAAUAUUGCACAAUGGUCGAAAGACUGAUGCAGCAACGCCGCGUGAGGGAAGAAGGUUUUCGGAUCGUAAACCUCUAUCGAUAGGGACGAAAACAAUGACGGUACCUAAGUAAGAAGCCCCGGCUAACUACGUGCCAGCAGCCGCGGUAAAACGUAGGGGGCAAGCGUUAUCCGGAAUUACUGGGUGUAAAGGGUGAGUAGGCGGCUGUUCAAGUCAUAUGUGAAACCCCCAGGCUUAACCUGGGGACUGCAUAAGAAACUGAAUAGCUAGAGUACAGGAGAGGUAAGCGGAAUUCCUAGUGUAGCGGUGAAAUGCGUAGAUAUUAGGAAGAACACCAGUGGCGAAGGCGGCUUACUGGACUGAAACUGACGCUGAGUCACGAAAGCGUGGGGAGCGAACAGGAUUAGAUACCCUGGUAGUCCACGCGGUAAACGAUGAUAGCUAGGUGUCGGGUCGAGAGAUUCGGUGCCGGCGUAAACACAAUAAGCUAUCCACCUGGGGAGUACGGCCGCAAGGCUGAAACUCAGAAGGAAUUGA
RNAcentral lists this ribosomal RNA (800 nucleotides) under uncultured bacterium. Its description in RNAcentral is "bacterial SSU rRNA". It matches the Rfam family "Bacterial small subunit ribosomal RNA", at positions 94 to 913 of the family's 1533-position model. The record is from RNAcentral.